UCUGGGUGCCAGCAGCCGCGGUAACUCCAGCUCCAAUAGCAUAUAUUAAAAUUGCUGCAGUUAAAAAGCUCGUAGUUGGAUCUGGGUUCUGGUUUAGAAGUCGUGUGCAUGGUCCUGCUUGAGGAAACGAUGGCUAGAUUGUGCUGCGAUCUUCUUGAACCGAAUCUUUCAGCUGUGUCUUUGUGAUACUUCGGUAUUGCUUAGAUAGUUCUACUUGUCUAGUUUGUUCUUUGGACAGAUUAGCGGUGGUUCUACGCAUUGUUAAUGCUCUUAACCGGGUGUUCAGUGUGGGCAGCACGUUUACUUUGAACAAAUUUGAGUGCUCAAAGCAGGCCU
Molecule: ribosomal RNA, 336 nt
Filed under: Gyrodactylus markakulensis
Lineage: Eukaryota; Metazoa; Platyhelminthes; Monogenea; Gyrodactylidea; Gyrodactylidae
Description: bacterial SSU rRNA
Rfam family: Eukaryotic small subunit ribosomal RNA
Source: RNAcentral